This 900-nucleotide ribosomal RNA is filed under the name uncultured bacterium. Its description in RNAcentral is "bacterial SSU rRNA". It matches the Rfam family "Bacterial small subunit ribosomal RNA", at positions 25 to 917 of the family's 1533-position model. The record is from RNAcentral.
CAGGAUGAACGCUAGCUACAGGCUUAACACAUGCAAGUCGAGGGGCAGCGGGAUUGAAGCUUGCUUCAAUUGCCGGCGACCGGCGCACGGGUGAGUAACGCGUAUCCAACCUUCCGUACACUCAGGGAUAGCCUUUCGAAAGAAAGAUUAAUACCUGAUGGUAUGAUGAGAUUGCAUGAUAGCAUCAUUAAAGAUUUAUCGGUGUACGAUGGGGAUGCGUUCCAUUAGGUAGUAGGCGGGGUAACGGCCCACCUAGCCAACGAUGGAUAGGGGUUCUGAGAGGAAGGUCCCCCACAUUGGAACUGAGACACGGUCCAAACUCCUACGGGAGGCAGCAGUGAGGAAUAUUGGUCAAUGGACGAGAGUCUGAACCAGCCAAGUAGCGUGAAGGAUGAAGGUCCUACGGAUUGUAAACUUCUUUUAUAAGGGAAUAAACCCUCCCACGUGUGGGAGCUUGUAUGUACCUUAUGAAUAAGCAUCGGCUAACUCCGUGCCAGCAGCCGCGGUAAUACGGAGGAUGCGAGCGUUAUCCGGAUUUAUUGGGUUUAAAGGGAGCGCAGACGGGUCGUUAAGUCAGCUGUGAAAGUUUGGGGCUCAACCUUAAGAUUGCAGUUGAUACUGGCGUCCUUGAGUGCGGUUGAGGUGUGCGGAAUUCGUGGUGUAGCGGUGAAAUGCUUAGAUAUCACGAAGAACUCCGAUUGCGAAGGCAGCACACUAAUCCGUAACUGACGUUCAUGCUCGAAAGUGUGGGUAUCAAACAGGAUUAGAUACCCUGGUAGUCCACACGGUAAACGAUGGAUACUCGCUGUUGGCGAUAUACUGUCAGCGGCUUAGCGAAAGCGUUAAGUAUCCCACCUGGGGAGUACGCCGGCAACGGUGAAACUCAAAUGAAUUGACGGA